UUAAUCCCAAACUCCUAAUUUACCCCUCUCUCCUUUCCCCUGUGGUAACCAUAAGUUUGUUUUCUAUGCCUGUGAGUCUAUUUCUGCAUCGUCAAUAAGUUCAUUUGUAUCAACGUGUUUUAGAUUCCACAUAUAAAAAUCAGGUGAUGUUUACCUUUCUCUGUCUGACUUACUUCACUCUGUAUGACAAUCUCAGUCCAUGUUGCUGCAAGUGGCAUCAUUUGAUUCUUUGUAUGACUAAUAGUGUUUCAUUUAAACUUAUCUAUUGUGGGGUUUUUAUCUAUUGUCUUUUUUUUUUUUUUUUUUUUUAAUGGCUACGACCCACAGCAUAUGGAAUUUCCUGGGCCAGGGAUUGAAUCGAGCUGCAGAUGUGACCUACUCUGCAGCUGUAGCAACAUUGGAUUCUUUAACCCACUGCUCCGGGGGGGAUAGCUACUGAGGGAGCCACUGCAGUUGGAUUUUAACCCACUGCACCACAGCAGGAACUCCCAUGGAUUGGUUUUUGUGUCAUCUCCUUGAGUAAGUUUCUGGAUGGUCCCUGGGAGUUGCCACCUGCGUACUGACUUCCACAGGCUACUGAGGAUCCGUGUCCUGCCCCCGGCCCUUCAGGUCCCUUUACCCUCCUGUCUCUAGUUUAGUCCUCUUGUAUGUUACAUCUACAGGUGCAAAACCUCCCCAAGCAAUGUUCUCAAACAUAGUCUUAAAGCAAAAUGUUUAAGACCUGGGAGAGGCGAAUCUGUCACCUUCACUCAGAUGGUCACUGCUUCCGUCUCACGAGCUUUGAUGUUUCUCGAAUUUGCCAGAGCGACUCCAGGCUGCUACAGAGGCAUGGCCAGCAUGGACCUCCAGGGCCACAUCCCAGGGUCUAAGUGCAGGUGACGUCAGGGGUGAUGACCUGGGACUUGGAGCCCAGAUGCGACUCUGCAAGAGACUCGGCCAACACAGGCAUAGAGCUACAUGCAGCAGGUAACCAGCAGGCCCAGGGCACCUGUCCUCCUCCUGGACGGCCCCCAGCCCAGAGGGCACAGCGGACCCAUUCCUGCCCCUCCCCCACCAGGACCGCCUCUGCCUGGGAGCUGCCCCUGGGGAGACGGGCUGGACGCUGGGCACCUCCGGACUCUGGCCGUUGUCCACCCACAUGACCACAUGACAGUCAGAAUGGUCCUCUGAUAAAUGUCUGACAUCCACACCCAGUUCUGACAUUUAAAAUAAGAAAAAAAUGACAGCACCUUCUAAAUAGCUCGUGCAAUAUUCUGAGCGUUUUCCCAUCUGAGCCUGUUCGUUCUCACACUGAUCCUCAGACAGCCCCAGUUAAUGAUGGGAAAGCAGAAGAGAGAGGUCAGUUGAUUCCCCGAGACAGCACAGCAGCAGCUGGUGGGGCUGGCAUUGGACCCAGACCACCUGGCCCCGGGCCGCUCACCUGCCCACCACACUGCCCUAUCGGCCAAGCAGAAAGCCAGGGGGGCCUGUCCCCACGAGGACAGCUCUGCAGCCGUGUCAGCACUGGGCAGAGCCCUCUUCUGUGUGGACAGCUGACCUGUACCCUUCCAGCCCACGACUGCCCAGGGAACACCUGAUCCGGUCAAAGCCCCACAGCCUGGGGGAGGAGGGAGGGCUCCUAGCGAGACGGUGAGGACACAGCCCUGCCCGUGGAGGGCUUUAGUAAUGAACCAAAGCCAUUUCAGGGGAGAUUAGAGGCGACGCUGAUAGGAGUCUGCAAAGCAGCGUGAACAUGCAGUGGGGCCAGGAUUAGCCACGGGAUGAAAUCUGGGUCCCAGAGCCCAAAUCUCGCCCAGCUGCUGGGGGAAUUUGCCGGGAAACUGCUCAGGGCUCUGUCAAGCGGCUGACGGAGGAAGGGGUUGAGGAUAAAUUGCUUCUUGGUGACUAGUAAUCGCCUAAUCUGGGCCGUGGGCUGGAAAGCAUCUGAUGCUUCCGAGUGGGAAUUGUGGUCCGACCCGCAGAUACUUUGGGAUUUGGGUCUUAAUGAAAUUGGACAAAGACUGAGAAAGUGAGGUGUGAGGGGCCCGCUCUUUCCGAGACCCUCCGAGGAGACCCCGGGGUGGGGCAGAGCCCACGCCCUCCAGGGGCCGAGAGCCGUGACGGGACAGCCACAAAGAGCCCUCAGUCAGCUGCUCCCAGCGCUGAGCCGGGUUUCAGGCCCUCGCCCCAGGGCCUCUGCCAGGACACUCAGCUCAGGCCAGACCUGGUCCUUCCAAGGUGUCUAUGGGGGCCCCGGGGACUGCGCUGAGAGGGGCUCAGCCUUGGAUAUGGGGGCGGCCGGCACACGUGCAGGUGGGCGUGGACCCUCCCCAACCCCCAGCCAUCACAGAGCUGGAUGGAGGUGACACCGCCCUUGUGCUGAGAAGGAAGGGCCACUGCGGUUUGAUCCAAGAGAAGGGGGCUCCUUGCCCGUGAUGCUUAUCCACGGCCCAGGAGUAGGGAGCGAACGCCACAGGAGCCAGCCCUGGGGACACGCCACCAAACCCCGGGGCCAGAGCCUCCGAAGUGUGGGGUCGAGAGAGAUGAGAGGCUGGGAAACUGUCCGUGGUCCCGGCUGAUCCCGGAGCCGACGGGGGUCACCACCGGGAAAGUGGGUGGAGCCAGUAGAGCCCGGGACUAGUUCUCGGGGCGGGGAGCCCCUGCUCCGUGCCGGGUUGGGUGAGACGUUGCAGAGGAAGCCAGGAGAAGGGCACACAGGGACUCUGCCGUCUUUUCGACUCCGUGUAAAGCUGAAAUUAUUUCAAAAUAAAACUUUAAAAGGGAGGAUGCGUAUGAAGUGGGCGGCUGAAAUGACGUCCUGACUUCGUCGGAUAAGAAACAGCACUUCCCAGAGCAGGUGCUGAGGUCCUGCAAGGCCCCCGUGGGAGGCUCUUUUAAAAUGUGAGCAGAGUUUAAAAAAUGGAACUUUAAUACCUAUAGUCAGUGAGAAAAAAAUAGGAAAUGAUAUAAAAGACAGGAGAAGCUGCAUUUUCCCCACUUCUGGAUCUAGGGGAACGGCAUUUUGGAGCGGGGGCGGGGGGGACACAAGGAGAUUUUGCAGCCCCCCGCAGAGCGGUUGGUUUCUAAGUAAACUGGGAAGGAAAGAAAUGCUGGCAGGCAGAUGGUCCUGUGUCCUGGGCCAGGAGCGGAGGCUGGGAACAGGCUCCAGGACAAAACGCCCCCUUUACUGAGAAGCGGGAGGGACGGCCGCUGUAUCCUAACACCACGGCUUUAAGUCAGAUCCUGGCUGGGGGUGAGAUCAGAGCAUUCCAAGGGGAGCUCGCUGAAGUCCCAGGCUCGGGGGCCCGUCGGAGCUGCAGCUGUCAGCGACAGCACAGCCACAGCACGUGGACUCCAAGCCAAGUCUGCAACCUACACCACAGCUCCCAGCAACACCAGACCCUUAACCCACUGAGGGAGGCCAGGGAUCAACCUGCCUCCUCAUGCAUAGUCAGAGUCUUAACCCACUGAGCCACCACGGGAGCUCCGUAAAGUUCACCUUUAAACUAACCUCUGCUUGUCUGGAAAGACGGAAAACCUGACUUUAAGGUGGGGCGAGUGGUUCUCAUUUCCACAGAUGUUUUAUAAAAAUGCAGCAAAGCCUUCUCGACUUCCAGCCAGCAUGUUGGGGCUUUGGCAUCGUUCAGGCCGGAGGCACCGAACUCUCCAAGGGAUCUAAAACUGCGGGUUAGGCACUCCCGUCGUGGUGCAGUGGAAAUAAAUCCAACCAGGAACCAUGAGGAUGCGGGUUCGAUCCCUGUCCUCACUCAGUGGGUUAAGGAUCCGGCGUAGAGUGAGCUGUGGUGUAGGUUGCAGACGCGGCUCAGAUCCUGCAUUGCUGUGGCUGUGGUGUCGGCCGGCAGCUGUAGCUCUGAUUAGACCCCUAGCCUGGGAACCUCCAUAUGCCACGGGUGCAGCCCUAAAAAGCAAAAACAUUUAAAACAAAUAAAUAAAACUGCUAGUUAAGCUUCAGGAACUCGGGCUUCAUAGCAGAAAGCACGGUCCCCGGGGGCACCCGCUCCUCACGCCCAAGGGGACGCAGGACAUGCCCUGUGGGGUCUCCUGGAGCCCACCCAGACCUGCCGUGUGGCCUCAGCCAGGGCACUCUGUCCAUCCCCAGCCGCACACCUGCAGGUGCUGUUGGGCGGAGCACAUGGAAGAGACAGGGCCAAGUGGGAUCCGUUUCCUCUUGAUGAGACUCUAAACCUCUGUCCCCUCCCCGUCCCCAGGAGGCCUGAGUGAAAGCUCUCAUGCCUCUGAGCUCUGCACUCAGACCCCCGUGUCCUUGGACUAAAAGGCCAGCCACAGAAGUGACCAGACAGGGCAGGGCUGCUCCGUGUUCCUCCCGAGUUAAACGCACGUCCCCGGCCCGCCCACCUUGACCGCCAGCGGAGCAGACAGCCUCGCACCCAAAAAAGAAAACUUCCCUCAACAUUGUCAAUCACCGCACUUCAGUUUUUAAAAAGAAAAACUUCCCGUGUUGCUUCCAUACGGGCUGAUUUUCCUAACCCAGCUGCCACGAGAAAAAGUCUGCUGAGGUUUUGGGGGUCUAGAGUCUAACCGGUUACAAGGUAAUUGCUAACAACGAAAAUGCCCGGCUUUGCAGUCAACUCCUCAAAUUCCUUUACAGGAGAAUCAGGUCACAUACGUACAGUUCCGACUGGCACGUGUCGUCACCGAUACAUCUGCGCCGUUUAGAUACUCACGCCCAAAGUUGUUCCAAAUCUGUCUCGGGAGAGUGUUUAAUAGGAGUUUGGCAAAUGACAUUUCUGCAGACUCCUCUGGAAAUGGCAUUUGUUAAGCUGCCAUCUGAGAAGUAAUUUGUGUCAUUUGCUGGGGUUCAUUAUUGCAGAUAUUAGCAAUCAAUAUUUCUUCCCUCCAAAAGGACAGCAGCUGGCUCUCAGGACCCACAGAAAGCU
This 4898-nucleotide long non-coding RNA is filed under the name Sus scrofa (pig). RNAcentral's name for it is "lncRNA (ENSSSCG00000053256.1)". Lineage: Eukaryota; Metazoa; Chordata; Mammalia; Artiodactyla; Suidae. The record is from RNAcentral.